RNAcentral lists this long non-coding RNA (1575 nucleotides) under Mytilus galloprovincialis (Mediterranean mussel). Lineage: Eukaryota; Metazoa; Mollusca; Bivalvia; Mytilida; Mytilidae. The record is from RNAcentral.
CAUCAAAUACAACUUACAUUUCAAUAUUAUGAAUGAACACGAAUGCGGCCACUUUCAUUUUAAACGGAAACCGUCUAAAAUGCUCAAAUUGUGAAGAUUUCAGUAAUUUAGCAUGACUUAAUGAUGCUAGUACCCGAUAUAUGUGCAUUGUAUUGUCAAAAACAGCCCAUAUUUAUGUAGCAGAAGCAUUCUACUUUCCAGUAAAUGGCUAAAAGAUUACAUUUUCAUACUUUUGUAAAACUGCUAUAUUUUGGGGCCAAAAAGGGGUCUUACUGAACCUACUCCUUUACUCAAAAAUAUUCAGCACCAACCAUUAGUAUAACACCUAGCAGGUUAUCUUAGUUUUAUUUUAUUUUGUUAUAUAUGUUAAUUUAUUCCUUUUCCUUUUCUCUCUGUAGAAUAUUAUAACAAAUGUAUUUUAGAGUAAUUCCAACAACCAUUGAAUCAUCUGAUCUUAUAAAUACUUAUUCUAUAACAGUGGCAGAUCUAGAGGAUGGGGGUUCAAACCCCCAGAACACCCCUUUUUUUUUGGAUGAUCAAUGCAUUUGAAUGGGGAUAUCUGGUUUAAACUUGGUACCCCCUCCCCCUUUUCUCCUGGGAUUGGAACUACUUUUUAAAAAUGGCUGGAUCUGCCCAUGGGUUCUCUAUGUGAUUUUAUUCAUGAAAAACAUUGGCAACAAGUAUACAUGUUUUUACUUUAUCCCUCUGAUACAAUCUCUCUAUGAUUAUGUAUUUGUGAUAUUUAUGGUUUCAAUAAUUUAUAAACGUAAUCAAUUAGUCUCUGCAUUUAUCACUUCAGUUUCGCAUUAAGCAAUAGAGUAUUGUUUAAUAAAUUGUUAUAAAAUUGAUUCUUAAUAUCCUUAAUAAUUUUGUUGUCAAAUUAAUUUGAUAAUACAGAAAUAAUUUGUUUUAUAGCCAUUUAUAGAAAUGAUUAGCUUGGUAACAGACAAUGAUGUUAGUCAUGCCAUAGAUGUAAUAUUACAUCUAUGGUCAUGCUAUUCAGUACUGAGUCCUUAUAGGAUGUAUAGAGUAUAGAAGGUUUUGUUGUUACGAAUAGAAAUCAACUUUAUGCAAGUGCAUGUAUACAUGUUUAUAAUAAGACUUGGAUUGAUUUUGAAACAUUCAGAUGAAUGAAAAAGAAAGAUGAAUGUUGGUCUGUUUUGUAGUGACUUUCUUAUAACAAAUCAAUAAUGUCAAUUUCUAUCCGAUGCAGCUGGUAUGAUGUAGAAUUGGAAAGUUUGCCUGUUCUAUCAGCUAAAAGCACACACUUAGAGGAGAAACGAAAUAUCUAGACUAAUUUAAUACAUCUCCACUGUUUAAGAAAUUAAAAUAUUCUUUAAUAAAAUCCUAUCAAUUCCAACUUUUAAAAAUUUGUCUGAUUUAUUAAAAAUGACCUGAUUUGACAUGGACCAAAAAUAGUCACAUUAACAGAAAAACUAAUAACAGUGCAUAUAUACACACAAAAUUAUUUUUAGAUCUAGUCUAUAUUUAUCAUGUUGUGAUAUAGUUAUACAUUUAUAUCUGUUUAUUUUGACAAUGUUAUACAUGUAUUUACUUGUAAUAAAUAUCUGUAAC